Molecule: ribosomal RNA, 165 nt
Filed under: uncultured bacterium
Lineage: Bacteria
Description: partial 16S rRNA
Rfam family: Bacterial small subunit ribosomal RNA
Source: RNAcentral
UAGGGAAUCUUCGGCAAUGGACGAAAGUCUGACUGAGCAACGCCGCGUGAGUGAAGAAGGUUUUCGGAUCGUAAAACUCUGUUGGUAGAGAAGAACGUUGGUGAGAGUGGAAAGCUCAUCAAGUGACGGUAACUACCCAGAAAGGGACGGCUAACUACGUGCCAA